CGCCCCCGGGUCCCCGGCCUCGCCCUCCUGCGCCGCCGGACCGCCGUGAAGCUGCUGGUCCUCGGCGUGCUG
This 72-nucleotide transfer RNA is filed under the name Streptomyces mutabilis. The record is from RNAcentral. Lineage: Bacteria; Bacillati; Actinomycetota; Actinomycetes; Kitasatosporales; Streptomycetaceae.